GGGGCUCAGCCCCCUUCAGGGUUAGUUGUAUGUCCUUUAUAUAAAAAUAGUAAGAAAGUUCAAAUGAUUGAGUGACAGGUUGGCACAAGAUGUGUAAUCUGUAAUCUGCUUCAGCCUGUCAUUCAGAUAUAAUGUCCAUACAGUCCUCCUCCUCCUCCUCUGGGACUCACUGUACACGUUCUUAAAGAAACAGUGACUUCCAACAGUGACUUCCAACAGUAGUUUCCAACAGUGACUUCCAACAGUGACUUCCAACAGUGACUUCCAACAGUGACUUCCAACAGUAGUUUCCAACAGUGACUUCCAACAGUGACUUCCAACAGUGACUUCCAACAGUGACUUCCAACAGUGACUUCCAACAGUGACUUCCAACAGUGACUUCCAACAGUAGUUUCCAACAUGAGUUUCCAACAGUGACUUCCAACAGUGACUUCCAACAUGAGUUUCCAACAGUAGUUUCCAACAGUAGUUUCCAACAGUGACUUCCAACAGUAGUUUCCAACAGUGAUUUCCAACAGUGACUUCCAACAGUGACUUCCAACAGUGACUUCCAACAGUGACUUCCAACAGUGACUUCCAACAGUGACUUCCAACAGUGACUUCC
This is a long non-coding RNA of Oncorhynchus tshawytscha (Chinook salmon), 604 nucleotides long. The record is from Ensembl. NCBI's taxonomy places the organism in Eukaryota, Metazoa, Chordata, Actinopteri, Salmoniformes, Salmonidae.